GUUAUCCGUGAAUUGACCUUCCCGUGAAGAGGCGGGAAUAUGACAAUAAGACGAGAAGACCCUAUGGAGCUUUAAUUAACCGACCCAAAGAGAUCUUGAUAAUCAACCGACAGGGAUAACAUACCUCUACCAUGGGCCGACAAUUUAGGUUGGGGUGACCUCGGAGAAUAAAACAACCUCCGAGUGAUUUAAAUCUAGACUAACUAGUCGAAAGUACUACAUCACUUAUUGAUCCAAAAACUUGAUCAACGGAACAAGUUACCCUAGGGAUAACAGCGCAAUCCUAUUUUAGAGUCCAUAUCGAAMYAGGAYAYUGCGCUGUUAUCCCUAGGGUAACYYGUUCCGYYGAUCAAGWWUYUGGAUCAAUAAGUGAYGYAGYACYYUCGACWAGUUAGUCUAGAUYUAAAUCACUCGGAGGYYGUUUUAUUCUCCGAGGUCACCCCAACCUAAAUYGUCGGCCCAUGGUAGAGGUAUGUUAUCCCUGUCGGUUGAUUAUCAAGAUCUCUUUGGGUCGGUUAAUUAAAGCUCCAUAGGGUCUUCUCGUCUUAUUGUCAUAUUCCCGCCUCUUCACGGGAAGGUCAAUUUCACGGAUAUGGAAGUAAGAGACAGUAAAGCUCCUCGACUACGCUGUUAUCCCUUGGGUAACUUGAUCAGUUGAUCAAGUUUUUGGAUCGAAAGUGAUGUAUUACUUUCGACUAGUUAGUCUAAAUUUAAAUCACUCGGAGGUUGUUUUAUUCUCCGAGGUCACCCCAACCUAAAUUGUCCGCCCAUGGUAGAGGUAUGUUAUCCCUGUCGGUUGAUUAUCAAGAUCUCUUUGGGUCGGUUAAUUAAAGCUCCAUAGGGUCUUCUCGUCUUAUUGUCAUAUUCCCGCCUCUUCACGGGAAGGUCAAUUUCACGGAUUGGAAGUAAGAGACAGUAAAGCCCUCG
RNAcentral lists this ribosomal RNA (927 nucleotides) under Panthera onca (jaguar). RNAcentral's name for it is "partial 16S ribosomal RNA". Lineage: Eukaryota; Metazoa; Chordata; Mammalia; Carnivora; Felidae. The record is from RNAcentral.